CUUGCUAGGAAUGAAGCCGUAAGCAACAUGGUUAAUCAGCUAAGGAAUUUCGUCUCUGGAGUAUCGACGAUUUGGUGGCCUGGAUCAUGGCGGACCGUGGUGACUUGGAGGAUGAAGUUCGCUCUAGGCAUGUGUUUUCUAUCCACACCAACAGGGAAUUUGAGAAAGGAAAGGUUGAGAGGACAAAGUUGGAGAUUGUACUCUAGCAAGAGGAUGGCUACGCACACUCUCUAGUAGGCAACUUGGACAUCCUUUGCGAUGAACUCAAUUGUGCUAAGGAGGGCUCUCGACAACUUCUCAUUAGGACUGCUGAAGUCAGAGCGUGACUCCGUUAAAGCUCAGCUUUCUCUUGCCCGUGGGGAGUUAGAGUCAGAGUGGGGCCGUGCUUGCUCUGAGCUCUCCACUUUCAAGGAGGAGCUAAAUUCUAUCUGUCAGGAGUUGUCUAAUUCCUAGCGGUGUUGCUCUAAGCUAGGGGAGGUGUUGGUGGCUUCAGAGAAAAGCAAGUGGCAAGUUACCCUUGAUCUUUCUAAGGUGCAUGACACUCUAGAGGAACUGACCAAACGGCACAGGGAAUACAAGACAAAUAGAGCCAACGUAGACGAACAAUAGAGGAAGAUUAGCGAAACACUUCUCUACCUGGAUACCCGCCUGAAGGGAAAGACCCAGUAGGUGAAGGCAUUGGAGUUUGUCCGCCUUCACCCUCAGCUGGCGUCGGAGCGUGGAGUCAGGGAUCAUGCUUUUGAUUAUGGGUAUGGGGUUGGCGUGUUGUAGCUUAGAUCGCACUUGGCCAAUCCUAAUUCUAAUUUGAGGCGCUUAGUUUUGGGAUGUUUAAACCUGAUGCAACCUUGUGUCAGUUUGUUGACACCUUUGGUCGGGACACCAUGCCAAAUGCCUUUGACGUUCCUCGUCCAUCUCCACCUUCUGGCGAUCCUAGCUCUUAGCUUUCUGUAAUUGAUGACAUCUACUGCUGCAUUUGUAAUAUCUUUUGUAAAUAAUAUGAACACUUUUG
This is a long non-coding RNA of Juglans microcarpa x Juglans regia, 1009 nucleotides long. RefSeq lists it as uncharacterized. The record is from RefSeq and is a predicted model, not a curated record. The transcript is spliced from 2 exons. NCBI's taxonomy places the organism in Eukaryota, Viridiplantae, Streptophyta, Magnoliopsida, Fagales, Juglandaceae.